UCCCACAAUCCAUGUGUUAAGAUGUUAGUAGAGCUUGUACAACUAUUGUUGGUUGAACUCAAAGUCAAAGUGAACUACAUGGUUGGUUAAAAAGAUAUUUCAAGGCUUCUAACGUGCAUCUACUAAUGACUCGAUCGAAAAAAUCCACUUGUUACCCACAAGAUGAACUUAGCUAUAAUCUCCCAUCGAUUAUGUUUAGCAACUUUCUCCCCCUAAAAGUUCACUCUAUCCCUGAGGAGAGUGAGGAUACGUCAACAAAUUCUGACUCUCCAAGGUCUUUGCAUUUGUGGGAUUAUGGUGACUCGUUUGGUCCACCAGCUAACUGGCGCCUCCAAUUCUCUAUGAUGACAAAGUCUACUCACACAACCCCUGUAGUAAAGACGAAGUAUGGUGAAAAUCGAACAACUCAUAAAGGUAAAUCACUAUCUUAUAUUUUGCCAACUUCAAAGCAAGGUAAGAUCUCUGCGAGUAUUGUUGAGGUGACAUACGAAGUUAAGCAAAUUAUUGGAAGUUUGUUUUGAUAGGUUUUGUGAUUGGGGACACCCCUUAUUUGAAAUCCAUUGAGACUUACAUCUCGCAUGUACAAACCAAGGUAUUGAGUCAUUAUAUUGGGUACUUUAUCUUUAGAUUUGAUAUGGCUUAGGAGUGUGAUAGAUUGUUAAUAGGAGGGACUUAUACCUUCCAUAACAAGUCAUUUAUUGUCCAAGCUUGGGACAUUGAUUUUAAAUUUAACCCUAAUUGCAUUACACCAACCCACUGUGGGUUACUUUCCUAGGCCUUCCUGUUGGUUAUUGGUAAUGUGAAGCGCUGACUCUGAGCAAAGUUUCCCAAACAUACAAAUCGGUUCACUGUACUUUUUAGCAGCCUGUGAAGUAUGAGCGAAGACCAAAAUACUGUGGAAAUUGUCUGAAGUUUGGCCACAUCUCUGAGAGUUAUUGGUCAAAAAGAGAAAAGGUUGUGCAAGAUGCUGAGAAGUUUGAGGCGGUACCAAAGGUGAAGGGGAGAAAUAGGUGCAGAAAGAGGCCACAAAGGUAGCAGUGGUAGAGUAGAUGGAUGAGGAGAAGAUACCUGCUCCUUUUAACCCCUCUUCCCCCUCCCCAGUGCUGCUACUUGUGAUAAAGAAAUAACUACUAAACCUAGCUCUUCACAUGGAUUAUCUGGUGUGUGAAGGAACUAGGGACAAGCUAGUACUAACAAGGGCAGCACUAUCCAGUUUGCUUCUCUACUACAUAUCCCAGUUAAUGAUAGACCUCCAAGUCUACUUGGAGAUGCUCCAAAUAUAUGAUUAUAGAGACAUCGAACAUCAGGGGUCUAAACUAGCCCUUGAAAUAGAAAGAGCUAAAGCUCUUCUGACAAAGCAUAAGAUUGAUAUUUGUGGUUGUCUGAAACCAGAGUAAAGAAAAAUAAGGCUUCUAAUAUACUAAAUAAAGUAGUAGAAGGGUGGAAUACUUGUUGUUACUACCCAACGACUCCUAAUGGUAGGAUAUGGAUACUAUGGCAACCACAUGUGCAAGUAUCUAUUUUGAAUAUCAAAGAGCAAUUUAUUCACUAAUAUAUGGGUGAUGCUAGUGGCACCUUCUCUGCCUAUAUCACUAUUAUUUAUGCUAAGAAUGGUAUGCAGAAGAGAGUAGAACUAUGGGAAGAUCUCAAAGUGCUGAGAAAUUCUAUUUAGGAACCAUGACUCCUGAGUGGGGACUUUAAUAUUGUAUUAUCCCCUAAUGAUAGAUUGGGCUCUGCAGUUACUCAGAUGGAAACGCAAGACUUCAAGGACUGUAUGGAUCACCUUCAGUUAACACCUCUGAAUGCAAAAGGUUGUCGCUAUACUUUUUGUAAUAAACAAUAGCUGGAUCAUAGGGUCUACUCAAAGAUUGACUAGGCACUAGGAAACUACCAAUGGUUACAGAGUUAUGGGGAUAUUGAGGCUGAAUUUUUUAAUCUAGAGGUGUCUGCCCACUUCCCUAUCUUCAUCCUUCAUAAUGCUCAACAAAUAUACAGACCAAAACCUUUCAAACUCUACAGAACAGUGCUGGAGCACAAGGAGUCUCAGUGAUUAUAGCAUCCACAUGGAGGAAGCAAUUUUAUGGCACAAAUAUGUACAAACAAAGUCAAAAACUUAAAGCUCUGAAAUGUGAUCUAUAGGGGAUAAACUCUUAUCUUGCAUCUUAUUCUCAAAGAAGCCAACUCAUUAGAGUAAAGUUAGAAAUUACACAAAAUAGGAUUGUUGUAGACCCCCUUAAUCAAGAAUUGAUAAGUGAAGAGAAGGAACUAAUCAGGUCUUUCAUAAGUGGAUUUUAGUGGAAGAAAAAGUGUUGAGGCAGAAGUCUAGGCAACACGGACUAAAUGCGAUGAUGCCAACUCCAAGUACUUUCAUGCUCAAUGUAAAAUCAGAGCCAGCAGAAACAAUAUUUCUUCUAUCUAUGAUACUUAAGCUGAGCUUCCCUGUCCUAACUCUAUGGUGAUCAAAAGUGGUCCAUGCUUAUCACAACCUCAGAAACUCAAUCUUAUUCAAGAUGUUACUGAUCUGAAAAUCCUACAUGCUUUGAAGAAUAUGCCUGUGGACAAAGCACCAGGUUGGUGAUUUCAAGGUACUGGAAUACUCUAUGGCUUCCAGAGUUGACUCCAAGGCUCCUUUUAUCUAUCUUGGCAUCUUUACUAGUUUUCGGAGACACACAAUUGUACUUUUGGUAUUUCAGAUCUAUUUAUUAGAUGCUCUACAUUUAUGACCGUAGAUUUGAGGGAUUUUAUGUAUUUUAUUUAGACUUUUGCUAAAUUUUCAUGUGUAUUGACCUGACAUCAUUCUAGAAGUCUCGUCGUGUCUUAUAUUAUUAUUGUUUUUGAA
Molecule: long non-coding RNA, 2839 nt
Organism: Capsicum annuum
Lineage: Eukaryota; Viridiplantae; Streptophyta; Magnoliopsida; Solanales; Solanaceae
Exons: 4
Source: RefSeq, a predicted model, not a curated record